RNAcentral lists this long non-coding RNA (12672 nucleotides) under Nicotiana tabacum (common tobacco). Its description in RNAcentral is "long non-coding RNA (NTAB_LNC015989)". Lineage: Eukaryota; Viridiplantae; Streptophyta; Magnoliopsida; Solanales; Solanaceae. The record is from RNAcentral.
AAAAAAUCUAACCUAGACUAAAAAAGCGGCCGAGCUUCCAAAAAAGGAAAAGGAGACCAUUGUCUCCAAUUCUCGAAAAACAGAGUACGAAACUAAGCAAAUACUUGUAGUUUCCUUGUAAAUCCAAACUUUCUCCAAUUGAUUCCGGGUAGCAGAACAAACUUUUUUAACUUUUCUAUUUAAAUAGUGAGAAUUCGUUCAAAGUCAUUAGUUCUUAUUCUUUCAAAGGCGCACCCUUUUUCUUUUGUAAAAAACAUCCAAAUAUAUCACAACCCCUCUUUAAUUCUUUGAUUUUCUUCUGUUUUGGUAAUAUCAAAGUCUGAGUCUUGUCAUGGCCAAGAGUUCUUUCAAGCUUGAACACCCUAUGGUUUAGCUAGAAUUUUGAAUUGGGUUCAAGAGGUUCGAGUUUAUCUGGCAAAGUUUUUUGUUAAAAAUUGUUCGUAUUAGAGAAAAAACGGACAAAUCCGGGAAAAUUGUUGUCUGAGUCUCCUUUCAGUUGCGCGCCGAGGUACUGUCAUUUUUGCCGUUGAGGUCUUGAGUAGCCGGUUCCGUCCGGGUUUAUCGGCGAAAGCUCCGGUCAAGAGUCGUCGAGUUAUUUAACCUCUUGUAAUUCCAAUUUGGUCGAUUUAUCCCAAAGGUCCGUUCUUGCAUCUUCUCGACUGAUUAUUUUGUCCAUUUACAUUAUUAUUUGUUAAUGUAAUUAUUGUGUGACAUGAGUUAGUAGUUCGUUUUGUUGAUGAUUGGAUUGUUUGACUCUUGAGUGUUUCCAUGUUCAUAUCCUCACUGCACCUGUUGUUAAUUGUGCGAAUGGAUAAGUUUGUUUGUGUUGAAUUCACCUUAUUAGAGUUUUAGAUUUUAUACAUAUUUUGUCCAUGUUCUUUAUCAUAAAUCAAAUCUAAGUAAGUAGAACCUAUUGGUGCAAUUUAGUUGUUGGGUUAUAUCAUUGUUGUUUUCUUAGCGUAGUUGAUUUUCUCCUAUCUGAUAACAAGUAAAAAUAUUUAGACUAAGGAUUUUGUCUAUGGGGAAAGAAUUUGGAUUUCAAAAUAAUGUUUACUGCUUUAGCCUUACUUCAAUGUUGGUCCGUAGUACAAAUAUAAGAACUGAGAAGCAAUUGGGCCAACAAAUUUAAUUCUAGUUAACUCAACAUCAAUAAUAUUUCAGCUAGUAUAUCUUUUUAAUUAAUAAAGAUUGUUCCAUAAUAGAUAAUUCCAAUAACUAAACAUUACCCUCUUUCUACAAUAAUUUCUAUAACUCUUGGCCUCACAAUAAUCCCAAAUUAGUUUAGGAAAAUUAUGAAAACUGUAGUUUGCUUUAAGCACGUUAGUAAUAAUUGUGACUAUGUGUACGGUUCACGUGACAUAGUCAUGAUACUUAACCCCAAAAUCUGAGUGCACACUGGCGUGACUCGAUCCCCCAACUCCGAAUAAUAAUAAAAUAAGCAUGUUGUAGAUCGUGGGUACGGUUCCCGUGACAGAAUUCGCAAUGUGUAUACAAACAAACGAGUGCGCGACAAUCACGCCUUGUUAAAACAAAUUCAUAAAUAAUUAAAAGCAGUUGUAAGUUAAAAAUGCACAAUAGGUUUUAAAUAUGCAAUAAGUCAGAUAAUUAAGCCAAUAAUAACAGUUGAGCGACUGUGCUAGAACCACGGAAUUCGGUAAAGCCUAACACCUUCUCCCGGGUUAACAGAAUUCCUUACCCGGAUUUCUGUGUUCGCGGACUAUAAAAUAGAGUCAAUCUUUCCUCGAUUCGGGAUUUAAAACCGGUGACUUGGGACACCAUAAACUAUCCCAAGUGGCGACUCUAAAUAAAUAAAUAAAUCCUGUUUCGAUUGUCACUUAAAUUGAAAAAAACUCCCUUAUAUACCCCUCUGCGGGGUAGUAAAAAGGAGGUGUGACAGCCAUAAAGAGCCUUGUUUAAUUAUAUCUUCAAUUGUUAUCCCAUCCCCGACUAUCCCCAAUAGCUCAAUUCGACCCUGACGUUAACCCCGAGGUCCCCCAUCGACCAGACCUACACCCAGGCAGCAGGCCCAUCGGUUCGAUUACUAUCUCAUUUUAGCUUGCAUUUAAUCUUUAAACUCCUUAUUAUCAGCAUCAACUACUCUAACAACUAGCUCGGGAAUAGAUCACGUAUUUUUAGAAUUCCAUCUACAAAUUUAAUUGUUGUUACCAUUUUUACGGUAAACACCUUCUUUUUGGAGGAUAGUGUUGAUGCUUCGACAUUUCACCGAAGGGGUUGAAGGCGAGGUUUUUACCCUUAGUCAUCUGAUCAGAAUGUACAACCCUCGACUGUAUCGAGGUUUAGUCAAGCUCCACCAUCGGUCCAAAAAAUCUUUUUCACGAGUGUUGAUGAUGGGAAGGACCGAGGAUGGAUGAGCAGGUUCAUCCAAGUGAGGACCUAGGAUAUCAUCCCGGCCCGGAGAAUGCCCUUUCCGGAGCGGUGGAAUGCCUGACGUAAGCGAUUUUCCAUUUAGCCGCUUUUCGACUACUCUUUCGUUUGUCAUAAUAAUCUCUUUCUGCUUUCUGCAGCCGCUGCCUGGCAUCCGGAGGUGGUCCUAGAUUUGUCGGGAUGAAUCAGGCGGUUGAUCAAGAAAUUCCCGUACUGCGUUCGGUCUUGGACCGUCCUGGCUAAGAAGUGUUGGGUGGCUAAGAAUCACGGUGAGGUUCUUUUACCGCCUAUGCUUCGUAUUUUGUUUUUCCUUUUGAGCCCUUAGUGAAAGCAUAUUGAGGUUAUUGUGCUGGAACAGGUCUUGGUGAGAAUAUGCAGAUGAGGCUGCCCCCUAAUGGUGAAGUAGGGGCCUUGGAGCCUGGCACGAACAAGAAGACGAAAAGCAGGGCAGCCGUUGCCCGUCCUGCGGUAAAGAAAACCAGGUCGCCCAAGCACCGAGCCACUAGUGGGACUGUUGCUCUAACGUCAAGGUUGAAUCCCGAUAUCAAAAGGGAGGACGAUGAUGGAAGUCUGUUAAGGAGGAGAACUAGGUCCAGUGCGAGAGACUUGCAGGUGCCCCGGUCGGAGGCUGCUGAGUCCUGAACGGCUAGCUUCGGGUGGGCUCGUGGGCCGGGGGUCCUUGAAGAGGACGUUGAUGUAGCUUCGAAUCGAACAACCGGAUUUGGUGUAGCUUCUACUAAGAGGAUCGUUGGCGUUGAUCCUGAGGGAUCGGAGCUCGGGGCCUUCCAGGAAUGUGGGUUGCCACUUGGAGAAAUCGGCGAACCGAACAACUUUAUUUCAAACUUUCUGGUUUCAGUAGGGGAACUGAGGGAUGCCUAAGGGAUGAUCGGUGCCACAGCUGGGACUCCUUCUAAAGGGGGAGACUUUAUUGCCAACAUUUUUGAUGGCGUAAUCGACAGAGCUGAUCACGAUAUUUCUGGAGCCGUUAAAGCGGUGGAGAAGUCCAUGCAGCAGGUGAUAGUCAUUCCUCACGUAUUUCUUUUGUUCUCAGGCGUCAUUUAUCAUCUUUCUAACUUUUCCGUUGUGCCGCAGUGUAAGGAGAUGUAUGACCAUGUCAUCCUUCGGUUCCACAGGGAACUUUCUUGUCACGAAAAGGAGCGUAAGAAAAUUGCUUCAAAGCUACAAGAUUCGGAGGUUUGCUCUACCCAGGGCGAUAAAGAUCUGGGAGAGCUUCAGGUCGCUUUGGAGAUGGCGCUCUGGGAGAAGGCCAAUCUUGCUGCUUAGGUAUUUUGCCUUGCUUAUACCCGACCUUUUACCCCGUACUCACAUACGUUUUGGAUUCAUAUAUUCAUUGACUUGCCCUUCUACCAUAGGUCGAGCAGAGUGGCUCGCAGAUUAGUCAGUUGAAAGCGGUGAUCUCUGGGCUAAGAGAGCGAAACAAGAUAGUGGCUGGGGAAUUUGUGACAUCCUGGGAUCUUCUCACGGACACUCGUAGGGAGAUUGUUGCUUUGGCCGCGGCUAAGUACGAGGCCAAACGAGAUGCUCCCACUUAUUGGGAGGAUGUGGCCACAGUGCAUACAAUGGUUUGUGACAUAUCCAUGGCAGCUGAACAGAAACUAAUCCAAGCUAUCGAGCAUGCCAAAGUAGAGGCGAAGAGGGAGACCCUGGAAGAACUAGGGGCUAGAGGCAUCGACCUGUCAGCUGAUCUCAAGCAGGCCCGUGCAGCGGAGGGAAGAUUGACACUCUUGAUUGCCCCUAAUAAGGGUGAAGAAGAUAGUGACGAGGAGUACUCUCCGAGUCCUUUUUAUAUGCCUUCCUUUCUACUUCGUAUGCUGCCCCACCCCCCGGGAAACGGAUAGAGUAAAGACGUUUUUUCUUUUUUGUCAAUGUAUAAAAGGAGCUUUCAUUCUGUCAGCGCUUCUCCUUGUUUUUUUGCUUUUGCAUUCGGGCAUCGGCCCUUCGGGGCCUUUUCUUUGGACAAACCAGGGCCCCAAGAUUGGCCACAUCCCGAGGUUGAAUCGACAGCUUCUCCCAAAUCGAUAUUUAUGACGUCGGGGAUCUCCCGAGGUCCCGCAGUUUUAUGAGUCAUAUGGGAGUCAGAGUGAUUCUCCCAGUACACUCCCCUAGGAGAGGGUGAUGUUAACGUGGCCAGAAUUAAUUGGCCCUCUUGGGCAAGCGAGCAGUUGUCACUUUACUUCUAUAUAUUUGCUCAUCUGCCUCAUAAGCGGCGAUUUUGCAAUUCAUUAUAAGCCUAUCUUCUCUGCAGAGCCUGGCGCUUUGUGCUAGUCCUUCCGCUUCCCAGUUUCAGAUUUUUUUUUGCCUGGAUCCUCAUCAUCUUCCCCCUAUUCUACCGUAGCCAUGGCCGCUGCUUCGAAGCCUAAUCCUUGGAUGAAGGGGAGUCCCUCUUGUGCUCCACCUUUGGUCGGUACUAGCGGCUCGCCUCCGAUGUCGGGAGAGCGAGGCUCGGUGUGUCCUGCCUCGAAGAGGGUUGUUACACCAGGGAGGCCUUCUAAUGUUCUGGCCCAUCGAGAGCAUGUGUCGAGGAUUAUUUCAUCGGUAAGGGAGAAAAACCUCGAGAUGAUCAGAAAAGAAUGUGGAUGGGGGGAAGGCACAAUUUUGCAAGCACCUUCCCCCGAGGAGAGUGUCAUAACAUAUGUUGAGGGAUUAUUGAGUGUGUAUAUUCACGUUCUUGCACCGGGUUCCCCGGACUGGGUCGUGCUUGAUUUUUGUAGAAGAUAUCAAGUAACAUUGGCGCAGGUUCAUCCCUUUCUUUGGAGAAUAGUGCAGUCAAUGAGAUAUUUUGCCGACACGGCCGAGAUAGAAUUCACCCUCAGCCACCUCGUGAGGUUGUACCGGCCAUUGUGCUAUCGGGGCCUGAUUGAUCUUCAGCGUAGAUCCAUCCGAGCUUCUGUACCGGCUAUUGCGCUAUCGGGACCGUGGAUGGAUGAAUCGGUUCGUUCGAAUCUGGACGACCGACGUUAUCCCUAGAGAGUUUUUACUAUUUCUUGAGAAAUGAAACUUUACACGUAAGUGCUCCGUUUGAACUGCCUUUAUCUCAAUAUGAGGUUGGCCCCAUAACGAUAUCUUUCUGUUCUUUGCUUAUAGCAACUCAUUGGUUGCCCGGUGAGGUCCCCAAUUUAGCCGAAUGGUCGCGUAAGCUGGCAGCUUGCUCGAUUUAUGAUAGGCGCCGGUGGCGAGAUUUAUCAAAAGGGAGAUGAGAUGCGAAACAUCAUGGUAGGUGCCUGGAGUUAUGCCCCCCUAAGAGAUGGCUUCCUUCUUUCCGGCUCAUCUGAUUUAUCUGCUACAGGUGCCGGGAAUCCUUUCGAAGUGAGGCCGAGUUCCCCAAGGGAGGAGGAAAGAUUGCUGGUCCCAGGGUCAAGGAGUGCCGGUAAAAGGAAAGAUGCUCCGGGUUGCGAGAAGACUUGUAGUGAGGUGACUUCUUUGCAACGGUUAAGGGGAAACGAUUUGGCUGACCGGCAAUCUUCUGGGAUUGGUGCACCGUCGGACGUUGUUUCGGCCAUCGGCGAGGCUCAGCACUUUGGCCUUAUGGUGAGUUUCGGCUGCUGUAAGGAUGUUCUGGCCCUGCGCUCCUCUCUUUUAUCUUUUUAUUUAUCUGGCUUUCUUUCUUAGGCUUUUGAUAGGCUCAAAGCCGAACUACUUCAUUGUGAGGCCCCGUUGCGGGAGGCUCGAGAUAGGGAGAUCCCUCAAACUUCUUUGUGCGUCAAAGGAAAGCGAGCUCGUCUCUUUACGGCAUGAAGUGGACUAGAGCAAGGCCCGGGAGGCCCUCUUAGAGAAAUAGGUACCCUGCAUUUCGCGCUGGCCUGCAUUCCCUUUUUAUCUCCCCGCCUUGAUAUUUUGCUAUUUUAGUUGAAGGAUAAGGCGGAUGAGCUGGAACAACUCUAGGGCAAGCUUAGCAAAGCCAAACGUGAAUUCAACGAGCUGCAGGCGCAUGUGAAUACCUAUUCUGUGGCCAAAGAGAGGGCUCAGGCCGGGGCUUCUACUCUUGAGGCGCAAAUUCAGACCGCCCGUGUGAAUGAUUAUGCUCGGGCAAAGAUGAUCGCAAGACUCUCAUCCAAGCUUUCAAGGGUGAAAACCGAGGUGGUGAAUGUCUGGGCUGAGGUUGUGAUGAAUAAUAACAGGGCGGGACAGAAAAUGGUGGCUUAUUCAAGAAGUGCUACCGUUGCUAAAGUUGAGUUGAAGAAGACCCUCGGUCGUGCAAACAAUAGCAAGGAGUAUGUGAGGUGCAGAUCCAGGAGGGAAAUCUUUGAUGAGAUUCACGCCAGGGGCAUCUCUCGGGGGAUAUCGAGCAAGCCAAAGGAGAGGAGUACGAUUCCAAGUUCCUAUUGUCUGAUGCUGAGAAUGAUGAGGAGGAGACCGCCGGGCCAUAGCUGCCGGAAAAAGGGAAAAUGUCUAUUCCCUACCUUAUUUAUUGUGUAUAUAGCUUUCAUUAUAUGACGUAGGCUGAGAUUACGCUCCAUCACCAAUAUGUAGAAAUAAGAUGGGGAACCCCCCGCAAUUUGUAUCUUCUGUAUUUCUGCUUGUUGGAGUUUUAAUUGGGUCGAUUUGACCUCGGACUUGCCCUUAGGCUUGCGUGCUUUAACCGUCUUCGAGUUCAGUCUUCAAGUCGGGAUCCGACUUGGUCUUAAUUUACCCUCGAGUUUUGCGGUUGUAUAGGCUAGCAAUAGUGGCUCUUACGCCUUGGGUCAGAGCGACCUUCUAUAUAUGUGGCCCUUAGGCAUGUAUAGUUAACUAUUUUGGAUCCGGUCUCCGAAUCAGGUUACGAUUCGAGCUCAUUUUAAUCCUCAAGUUUUCAAUUUGCAAGUUGGCAACAAUGGCUCUUACAUUGUUGGGUCUUUGAGACCUUUUAAUGUGCGGCCCAGAGGAUCAUUUGGCUGGCGACAAUGGCUCUUACGCUAUUUUUCCCGUGGGAUUUUUAUGGACGACGUGUUGAGGCUCGUCUGUUUUGUUCCUUUUUGCUAUUUCUCCUUCUUGCAAUUGAUUUUUAGCCCGGUUGCUGAGAAGUUCCUGAAAGUGCCCGUUAUCGAGCAAUAGGGCCACUUCCUCCUGGAGAUGCCUGCAAUCUUCGGUUUGGUGCCCGUGCGAGUUGUGAAAUAACUCGCAAAUCAAAUUGCAGUUCCUAUGGGAAGGAUCCGAAUGUAACGGCCUGGGCCAUCUGGCAUAUCUGAUUUUGCUAAUGGCGAACACAAUGUCUGACACAUCGAUGUUAAAGCUAUACUCUAAUAGGUGGGGUGCCCCUGUUGGCCCUCCGUACCCGUCGAUGCCACCCCCGUUGAGGGGUCCCCGAGGGUUCUGUCUUUGGUUUACCGAUCGGCCGUUACGAGGCGAAUUGCACUUUAGAGCAUUUUUCCUAUCAUCGAGAUAUGGCUAGUACCUUUUUUUAUUCGAUCUUGAUUCCUUCGCCAAAAGCCUGCUCGGGUAUACUGAUCCCGAAGGGGAUCCAAGCUGGUCGUCCUCGACCCUGAUAUUUGACUAGUAUCGGUUGUGGACGUCCAACUAGGUUACAACGGGAUACUCGAUCAAAUUCUCUUUCAGCUGCCUUGAUGCCACCGAGCUUCGUUCAUUCAGGCCUUGAGUAAAGGCUUGCACUGCCCAAUCAUUGGAGACCGGGGGAGCUCCAUUCAUUCUGUCCAAAAACGAGACACAAAUUCUCGCAGCAUUUCAUUCUCCCUUUGCCUAAUCUUUAACACGUCAGACUGCCUUGUUGCUACCUUGAUGGUGCUGGUGUGCGCACUUACGAAGGAGUACGCUAGCAUGGCGAACGAAUCUAUGGAGUUGGGAGCCAGGUUGUUGUACCACAUCAUAGCCCCCUUCAAGAGUGUUUCUCCAAAUUUCUUCAGCAGGACUGACUCGAUCUCAUCAUUUUUAUGUUGUUGCCCUUCACCGCGCACGUGUAGGCGGUGACGUGUUCGUUGGGAUCCGUGGUCCCGCUGUAUUUUGGGAGUUCUAUAAUACUAAACUUCUUUGGAGUGGGUUUCGAAGGUGCUUCCUUUGAGAACAGCCGUUGCUCGAACUUUCUCGAAUCUACACCUUUCAGGACCGGGGGUCCUCCCAGGAUCUUAUAAACUCUAGAGUUUUAGGUCUCGACCUUUUUAUCGUUGGCUGCUAUCAUUUUCUCACCCAAUUCGAUCCUUCUGGCGAGGUCCUCAAGCAUCUUUAUUAUGGUAGGGUCGGCUACCGAUCCGUUGUUGGUUGAUCUCUCGGGUAUUUGUUCGGCGGGGGGAGCUGUUUCUAGUGCUACUGUGCUGGGAGGCUUCGGAUUGCUUUGUAACCGAGCAAUGGCCAACUGUUGUGCCUGCAAUAUUUCAAAAAAAACAUGAAGACUAACUUCAUGUUCUUCCCGGGCCAGGGUUUUUUGAGCUUCCUAUCGGUCGUUGUGCCGUAUGCUCCUGUCGGUGUGAGAAGUUUCGUCGACUUGUUGUGCGUCCUAUAAAUCCGCGUCUUCUAGAAUCGAUCCGGGCGUAUUAUCAGAAUUCUUUGGUGUCACCCCAGUGGCCGGGACAGCCACGCCGUUUUCCCCAUGAUUUUCGAGGUUGUUGUUCUCGACUUCAUUUACCGAGCCAAACAUUUUGACCUGAACUCAAGGGAUCUUGGGCAAGAAAAAGUGUGAAAGAUGACAUGCGUUUGUGUAAUGAAACCAGCAAGAAAAUAAUCACUAUUAUUUUUAGCCCCACGAUGGGCGCCAAACUGUUUACAGUAAAAAUGGUAACAACAAUUAAAUUUGUAAAUGAGAUUCUAAAAAUACGUGAUCUAUUUUUAUGCUAGUUGUUAGAGCUGGUGAUGCUAAGAAUGUGGAGUUUAAUGAUGAAAUGCAAGCUAAAACGAGGCAGUAAUCAAACUGAGGGGCCUGCUACCCGGAUAUCCCUGGCCUGACAGUAGUCAAGGGAAAAUCACUUGAGCUUUUUUGCCUUUGCUCCUUCUUUCCAGAGCGCACUAACGAAAAACCUGAGAUAAUUCUUAGCUGAUGUGGAAUUUAGCAGGCUUGGAUUGGAAGGAAGGGCUUUUCUUUCCGUCGCUUUUUGAGGCCGGUUUUGAUGAGCGUGGGCAAGUUCGGGAUUUACUAUCGCUUUCCACUUGGAGCGGCUCACCCCUUUGUCACUUAAAGGGCGAAGUAGGACUGGUUGAUGGGGGACCUCGGGGUCAAUGUUAGGGUCGAGCUCGAGCUAUUGGGGGCGGACGGGAAUGGGAUAACAGUUAAGAUAUGAUUAAAUAAGGCUCUUUAUAUCCAAUACCAAGCGAUAAAAUGAAGAACAAAUAAGACAGCGAUAAAUAUUAAAGUGGCAUCGGGCCAGUGAGAAUGAGCGAGUUAGAAAGAAGAGAGGGAGAGAGAUAUUAUUGCACUUUGUGGAGAAAAUGGAGCAACAUCAUCCUUUUACAAAGUGGCAUGGUUUCCCCUUAUAUAGAAGAGGGAAUACCAUAUAGUACAGGGUGCAUUGAAUGUAAAGAUAUGGGGAUGGGACGACUAGGCAUGGUACUAGUGUUUACUGAUUCUAGCUGCUCGCCUCGGGAAUCCCCCAUCCUCGGAACCUUUGUUGGGUCACGAACAAAUUCCCUAUCCUCAGAAUCUUUGCUGGGUUGCAGACGAACCUCGAGGGAAGGAGCUUGAUUGUAAUCCUGCAGCCUCGAGAUGCUGAUAUGACUUCCCGAAUAUACCUUAACGGCGAGAAAUAAACCCCCCUAAUUUCACCGCAUACAGUGUUCUUGUAUAUUCAAUGUUGUAAGAAUGAUAUCUUGUGUGUCCAAAAAAUAGUAAAGGUCCCAUUUAUAUAGGAGGAGGGAACCCCAUCAUAGUACGUAUGUACUUAUUACAAAGUAGAGUAGCUGGCACAGCUACCUAGCAGUCUGGUACUAUUCUUAUAGGUGAUGUCAGUUCGGACCACAUGCCUAAGGAACUUUCCGCUUGCCCUUGAUAACUAUCGACUCGUGUUGCAUCGAGGUCGAGUGUGAAGAAUCCUCGAGGCCAAAACUUCGAGUUGCGCCCCCGGGUCUUCGAGGCCUUUUUAAAGCUAAGGGAAAGACACAGUGAUCGUGAAAUCGGGCCUCCCGAUUUCACCCGUAUACAAAUAUGUAAGAAAAAAUAUUAUUGAAUAUAUUACUCUUUUAUUGUUCAAAACAGUUUUCGCCCCAUCUCCCCUUUACUAGAUUCUUAAAGCUAAAUUCAAAUGUGAAAAGUUGCAGCACAUAUAACUUGACAAAGAGGUUAGUAGUUACUAGUUAUUUCAAAGAGGUGGUUGAGUAGAAUAGGCAUCAAAUAUAUAACAAAAAUGAUCCAAAAAUAUUCCUAAACCUUACAACUAGGAGAAAAUAUAUCCUCUAUUAAUAGUUAGGCCUCUUCAUACCCUUCUCGUUACUCAACUGAAGCACAAAUACUCGAUACCCAAACAGCCGACCACUAAAAAUCAUUAAACUUAUUAUUCAACACCUUUUUUGCCACGUAGAUUUAGUUACCAGCACCCCUACUUAAUUUACUUUCCAAUUAUUAACCCCUUCCCCUUGUUUGCUUCUCCCCCACAAAAUCAAAAUACCCUUUAUCAUUUUUCCCAAUUUCAGCUGUUAGGGUUCCGAAGGGAUCAUCAUCUCUUCUCUUCGAAAAUAAUUUUAGGCAAGGUUUAAUUUCCUAUAUUCUUGGUCAAUUCUCCAUCUUUACUACUAAAAAUGGACUCCCUUCAAUGUAGGGAGAUGAUUCUUCAAGUGCCCGAAAUCGAAUGUAAGUUAUAGUUUUUAAUAUCAUUUGUCUUUUUUCGAUUCUUUCGCAUUGGUAUUGUAACGAUCCGACUGGUUGUUUUGAGUAUCUGCACUUCGCUCGGUAUUUUGUGGGCUCGAGUAUCUCCAUAUGAUGUAUUUUAAAUUAUGUAAAUCGUCAGUUUUGGUUUUUUAUUCGGGACUGAUUUGAAAAAAUGAUUCUCAACUAGGGAUCUUUAAAUUUGAAAGAGUUAACCGAGUUUGAAUUUUUAGUAUUUGAUCUCGGAUUAGAAUUUUGAUGGUUCCGUUAGCGCCGUUGGAAAAUUUUGGACUUAGGAGCGUGUUCAGAUUGUGAAUUAGAGGUCCGUAGUUGAAUUUGGCUCGAAAUGGCAAAAGUUUGAUUUUUUGGAAUGUUUGACCGAGAGUGGACUUUUUGAUAUCGGGGUCGGAUUUCAAUUUCGGAAGUUGGAGCAUGCCUGUAAUGUCAAAUGUUACUUGUGUACAAAAUUUAAGGUCAAUCGGACGUGAUUUGAUGGGUUUCGGCAUUGGUUGUGGAAGUUUGAAGUUUCAAGUUCAUUGAUUUUUAGAUUGAAAUCUGAUUCGCCGUUUCGAUGUUGUUAUGUGUGUUUUGAGGCAUUGAAGUCCGUGCUAUGUUAUGAUACUUGUUGGUAUGUUUGGAAGUGGUCCCGAGGGGCUCGGGUGAGUUUUGGAUAGGUUUGGGUUGUGUUGCGCUCGCUUUUUCUUAUGUUUCGACAUUGUUUAUUCAAGCAUAAAUGAUACUACAUUGAGCUGAGCUCCAAUUUCUAUUUUUAUUUAAGCAUUAGAUUGUGUCGUAAUUUCGGAGCCAUAGAAAAAAGAAUCAUCAAAUUUGGACAUCGUAUAAGGAGUUUAUGGUCAUUUUAUUAAGAAUUGGGUUGCUAGAUUUUUCAGAUCAAUUACAAAAUUGUCACUGACUUCGUAUUUAAAAAUCUGAACUAUAUUUAAAUAUUUAAACCAACAUAUCUCCUUCAAUUGGUCAAAUUUAGUGAUUCAAAAGUCUAACUUGACUAGAAUUUCACAAGGAAUCCAUUGGAGGCAUCAAAAGCGAGUUUUGAGAUCUUUUGGCAUAAGAAACGAGGCAGAACAGUGUUAAAACGAGAGUUUUGUUCAUUUAACAUAUUUUAAGUUGGGGAGCCCGGAAUUGGGCAAUUUUUGAAGCGAUUUCACCAUAUGAAUUGAGGUAAGUAUUCUCUACUCGAUUUUGGUUAUAUUCCAUGAAUCUAUCUUCGAUUUUAGCUUUUGGUUGAUGAAUUUUAAAGAGGAAAUUGGGGGUUUUUGCCUAAAGUUUCAUAAUAUAAUUUUUUGAGUUUUGAACAUCGAUUUGGAGUCAAAUUGAGUGAAACUAGUAUGGUUGGACUCGUAAUUGGAUGGGUUGUCAGAUUUUAUGAGUUUUGUCAGGUUCCGAGGCAUGGUCCCGGGUGUGAUUUUUGGCCGGAUUUGUAUUUUGGUUUAGGAUUCGAUCUUUAUUAUUUGAAAUUAUUUCCUUGGGAUUUAUUUGAUGUAUUUGAGUUGCUUUUGGCUAGUUUUGAGCUGUUUGGAGGUCACCAC